UACCGAGGGUGCGAGCGUUGUCCGGAAUCACUGGGCGUAAAGGGCGCGUAGGUGGCGCGACAAGUCAGUGGUGAAAGCUCGACGCUCAACGUCGAGUCGGCCACUGAUACUGUUGGGCUUGAGCACUGUAGAGGCUAAUGGAAUUCCGGGUGUAGCGGUGGAAUGCGUAGAGAUCCGGAAGAACACCGGUGGCGAAGGCGGUUAGCUGGGCAGUUGCUGACACUGAGGCGCGACAGCGUGGGGAGCAAACAGG
This 253-nucleotide ribosomal RNA is filed under the name uncultured bacterium. Its description in RNAcentral is "partial 16S ribosomal RNA". It matches the Rfam family "Bacterial small subunit ribosomal RNA", at positions 524 to 776 of the family's 1533-position model. The record is from RNAcentral.